GAUGAACGCUAGCGGCAGGCCUAAUACAUGCAAGUCGUACGGGAUAAGUUGUAGCAAUACGACUUUGAGAGUGGCGUACGGGUGCGUAACACGUAUGCAACCUACCUUUAACUGGGGGAUAGCCCGGAGAAAUUCGGAUUAAUACCCCAUAACAUAAUAACAGGGCAUCUUGUUAUUAUCAAAACUCCGGUGGUUAAAGAUGGGCAUGCGGCUGAUUAGCUAGUUGGUGAGGUAAUGGCUCACCAAGGCUACGAUCAGUAGGGGGUCUGAGAGGAUGUCCCCCCACACUGGUACUGAGACACGGACCAGACUCCUACGGGAGGUAGCAGUAGGGAAUAUUGGGCAAUGGACGAAAGUCUGACCCAGCCAUGCCGCGUGCAGGAUGACUGCCCUAUGGGUUGUAAACUGCUUUUAUACGGGAAGAAACCCCUGAACGUGUUCGGGGCUGACGGUACUGUAUGAAUAAGGAUCGGCUAACUUCGUG
RNAcentral lists this ribosomal RNA (484 nucleotides) under uncultured bacterium. Its description in RNAcentral is "bacterial SSU rRNA". It matches the Rfam family "Bacterial small subunit ribosomal RNA", at positions 28 to 507 of the family's 1533-position model. The record is from RNAcentral.